CGGGAUGGGCGAACAGAAGUCAGCCGAGGCCGUAGUAGUUGCUCGAAACCGGAGUGACGAAGGGC
Molecule: unclassified non-coding RNA, 65 nt
Filed under: Pseudomonas borbori
Lineage: Bacteria; Pseudomonadati; Pseudomonadota; Gammaproteobacteria; Pseudomonadales; Pseudomonadaceae
Source: RNAcentral